Molecule: ribosomal RNA, 451 nt
Filed under: uncultured bacterium
Lineage: Bacteria
Description: SSU rRNA
Rfam family: Bacterial small subunit ribosomal RNA
Source: RNAcentral
AGAAUGAACGCUGGCGGCAUGCCUAACACAUGCAAGUCGAACGAACUACCUUCGGGUAGUUAGUGGCGCACGGGUGCGUAACGCGUGGGAAUCUGCCCUUGGGUUCGGAAUAACAGUGAGAAAUUACUGCUAAUACCGGAUAAUGUCGCAAGACCAAAGAUUUAUUGCCCAAGGAUGAGCCCGCGUAAGAUUAGCUAGUUGGUGGGGUAAAGGCCUACCAAGGCGACGAUCUUUAGCUGGUCUGAGAGGAUGAUCAGCCACACUGGGACUGAGACACGGCCCAGACUCCUACGGGAGGCAGCAGUGGGGAAUCUUGCGCAAUGGGCGAAAGCCUGACGCAGCAACGCCGCGUGGGGGAUGAAGGCUCUCGGGUUGUAAACCCCUUUCAGCAGGGACGAAUCAAGACGGUACCUGCAGAAGAAGCCCCGGCUAACUACGUGCCAGCAGCCGC